CUGCCCUGAAACCUUCUUGACUUGGAAUCAACCACUGCACUGUCGCCUAGGAGACCCUGCCUGGUGAAAGGAUCCACGACCUCCGGUCACAGUGAGGCGCAGGCUUCUGCCCUCCGUGGGGCGGUCUUUCAUGAUUUCGUGCGUGCAGAUCCACGUUUCUGCCUGCGGUGAUCCGUGAUGUAUUCGCCACCCCACCCCCGCCCCGCCGCCGUGGUUCUACCCAGCCUGCUGCAGACGCCUCUGCCAGGUGCGUCACCCGCACCUGAGCUGACCCGGGACCCCGACGCCCGCGGCGUGCUGUGAGGAAGCCAGUCUCCGUGCGCCGUUGGGAAACCGCCGGCCAGUUUCUGAUGCAGGGCGCAAAGCCGGAUGCCACCGGUUAGGACAAGCACAGGGUGACCCAAGUGGAGUGGAGCGAGCUCUCUCCUAUCCGGCGUUCCGCUUAACAACACCGAGGGGGCACGUUCCUGGCUAACUGCGAUCGCAGUCAAGCUAGCUUUGCCUUAGCUUCUGGGGUCUCUGCAACCCCCGCCCCCAGAUCCUCCCUUGCCAGUGAGACUCUGGUGUGAAGAAACGAAACAGGUCCCUUUCUCACUCCGUAGUAUCUUAUUGUUACGGGCAUGGGAAGACUGACAGCAAACCUCUCACUCAACAGAUGCCGGAAGAAAGAUGCCCGAGAGCCUCAGAGCCACAAGGUCAUGGAAGCAGAAGAGGCCAGACCAUCUUUUCACUUAGUUCCUCUAGUAGACAUUUUUAAGAAAUAAGGUUCUGAAAGGUUAAUUCAUCCAUCUUUUAGGAUCUGGGACUGUUUUUGUUUAUGUUCAGAUGGAGGAAGCUGUAGGCAAAUGAAAACAAAUCAAUUGAAAGGGGUCCUCCAGGACAAUAUUUUCCUGAUUUUUAACUGCUAUCCAGUAAAAAUGCAUACUUACCAUCACCCAGAGUACAUAGAUAAGUUCUCAUGGAACAAGAGGUGCCCAGAAAUAAUCUCAGUCUCUCUUUCCCUCUCUAUCCCUCUUCUCUCUCUCCCUCCCUCUCCCUCUCUUUCCCUCUCUCCCUUCUCUCCCUCUCUCUGUCCUAUCUCUCCUCUCUCUCUUCUCUCUCUCCUCUCUCCUCUCUCCUUUCUCCUCCCCUCUCCAUACCCUGGCCUUAAAUCAGGUGUUAUCUUACUACUUUCCUGCCUUUUCUGGCUUUGGGUCUUCCAGCCACAGGAUGCCCAUGGCAGCUCCAACAUCUUGACUUGCCCAGCAUAGGACAAUUUUGGAGAGUCAUGAGUGAGAGCUGCAGACUCAGCCUGCUCUAGAAAGAGUUGGGCACUGCCACCCACUCCAAAUCUUUCUGGCUCUAUUUCUCCGUUCCAGCAACCCUGCUCAUGUCUCUAUCUGAGGGGGUUGGGGGCAUGGGCUUCCCAUCUGCUCUCACAUCCUUAAGCCCAAGUUGCCAAUGCACUGGCCCGCACACAGCGUCAGUUGGCAUGGUGAUGACUAGCCUGGGGGGCAGAUGGAGAGAUGUAGACUUCCACCUGCAACUCCAAACAGAGGCAGCCCAGAGCUCUCCCAACUCCCAGGAAUUUGCUAGGCUCCUGUCCAAACACACGGCAGACAAUGAUGACUCUUCUCCAAACCCCAGUCAUUACUAAUACUGGAGCAAAUCAGAGGCUCUGACUCCUUUCUCAUUGGGUCCUAUGUGAGGGUUUUGCAAGGAUCAUGAACAGUCUUGCGGGAAAUGAAGAGGAAUCUCAUUUUUAAUCCACUUGGGAAUUUGUAGCUUGUUCCUCUAAGGAAGAGUGUCUGUGGAAGAGCCCAGUGAUGGAGAGGUUCUGUGGUUUAGGAAUGAGCCACUUGGAAGCAGGUGACAGUGGAGUUACUGUCAUAGUGCUGCUGGAAAAGUCAGGAGGGAAAUCUGGCUCUUUCAAAACCCCCUCUUCUGUAGUAGUCUCCAGGGAGGGCGGUUGGGUAACCAUCUCCCUUCCUUCAUACCAGGGAGCAAAAGCCCCAGAACCCAGGUCCCGGGCAUGCCUCCACCUCCGUUGUUUCUCCAGAACAGGAAGGACAUUCGUCAGCAACCCAGGAAUGCAUUAAACAUCUCUCCCCAGGGGCCCCAACUCCAGAAAGAUGCAACCGUUGACAGCUCUUCUCUUUCGCCUUUGGCCUUUAUCCUGGGACAAGCACACCACAAACCCUGGCUGCCCCAUUCGGUAGCAUUCACUCCAUUGUUCUCAGCUGUCAAAGACGUCAGUGGGGUGAAAGCUUGUGUUUCGGCUGCCCAUCUCCCCUUCCAGCUGGAGUUACUGUGGACAGGAUAGCUGUGGCGUCUCUUGUGCUGUGGGCUGUUGAAAUGUCUUACAGCCGAGAAAUGAUCUCAAGAUGCUUCUAUUGUGAAAACCUACUGACACGCCUGAAA
Long non-coding RNA from Mesocricetus auratus (golden hamster), 2400 nucleotides. RefSeq lists it as uncharacterized. The transcript is spliced from 2 exons. The record is from RefSeq and is a predicted model, not a curated record. Lineage: Eukaryota; Metazoa; Chordata; Mammalia; Rodentia; Cricetidae.